GAACGACGCUGACGGCGUACCUAAUACAUGCAAGUAGAACGCUGAAGGAGGAGCCGCUCUUCUGGAUGAGUUGCGAACGGGUGAGUAGCGCGUAAGUAACCUGCCCGGUAGCGGGGGAUAACUACUGGAAACGAUAGCUAAUACCGCAUAAAGAGUAGAUGUCGCAUGACAUUUGCUUAAAAGGUGCAAUUGCAUCACUACCAGAUGGCGCUGCGUUGUAUUAGAUAGUCGGUGAGGUAACGGCUCACCAAGGCAACGAUACAUAGCCGACCUGAGAGGGUGAUCGGCCCCACUGUUUUGAGUAAGGGCCCAGACUCCUACGGGAGGCAGCUGUAGGAAAUCUUCGUCUGUGGACGGAAGUCUGUCCGAGCAACGCAGCGUGAGUGAAGACGCUUUUCGGAUCGUCAGCUCUGUUCCAGAGAAGAACGAGUGUGAGAGUGGAAAGUUCACACUGUGUCGGUAUCUUACCAGUAACGGACGGCUAACUCAGUCCCACCAGUCGCGGAAAUAUGUUGGUCCCGAGCGUUGUCCGGAUUUAUUGGGAGUAAAGCGAACGCAGGUCCAUAGAGUAGUGAGAAGUUAAAGGCUGUAAGCAACCAUAGUACACUUUGGAAACUAUUUAACUUGAGUGCAAGUUUCCAAUAGGAAUUCCAUGUGUAGCGGUGAGUUACGUAGAUAUAUGUAGGAACUCCGGAAGCGAAAGCGACUAUCUGGCUCGUAAUUGACGGUUAGGCUUGCAAGUGUGGGGAGCAAACAGG
Molecule: ribosomal RNA, 758 nt
Filed under: uncultured Peptostreptococcus sp.
Lineage: Bacteria; Bacillati; Bacillota; Clostridia; Peptostreptococcales; Peptostreptococcaceae
Description: bacterial SSU rRNA
Rfam family: Bacterial small subunit ribosomal RNA
Source: RNAcentral